Molecule: ribosomal RNA, 302 nt
Filed under: Hyperolius howelli
Lineage: Eukaryota; Metazoa; Chordata; Amphibia; Anura; Hyperoliidae
Description: partial 12S ribosomal RNA
Rfam family: Bacterial small subunit ribosomal RNA
Source: RNAcentral
ACGCCAGAAAACUACGAGCGCAAGCUUAAAACUCAAAGGAUUUGACGGUGCCCCAUCUACCUAGAGGAGCCUGUUCUGUAAUUGAUAAUCCCCGAUAUACCUCACCCUUUUUAGCUAAUCAGUCUGUAUACUUCCGUCGUAAGCCUAUCAUAUGAAUGCUCUAAUAGGCUAAAUAAUUUUAACAUUAAAACGUCAGGUCAAAGUGCAGCCAACAAAAGGGAAGAGAUGGGCUACAAUUUUUAAUUUAAAACAUACGAAAUAGCACUUGAAAAUUGCUAUGAAGGUGGAUUUAGAAGUAAAGU